RNAcentral lists this ribosomal RNA (468 nucleotides) under uncultured bacterium. RNAcentral describes it as "bacterial SSU rRNA". It matches the Rfam family "Bacterial small subunit ribosomal RNA", at positions 28 to 507 of the family's 1533-position model. The record is from RNAcentral.
GACGAACGCUGGCGGCGUGCUUAACACAUGCAAGUCGAACGAUGAAGCUGGAGCUUGCUCCAGUGGAUUAGUGGCGAACGGGUGAGUAACACGUGAGCAAUCUGCCCUUGACUCUGGGAUAACUGCGGGAAACUGUAGCUAAUACCGGAUACGACACCUUGGGGCAUCCCAGGGUGUGGAAAGAAUUUCGGUCAAGGAUGAGCUCGCGGCCUAUCAGCUAGUUGGUGAGGUAAUGGCUCACCAAGGCGACGACGGGUAGCCGGCCUGAGAGGGUGACCGGCCACACUGGAACUGAGAUACGGUCCAGACUCCUACGGGAGGCAGCAGUGGGGAAUUUUCCGCAAUGGGCGAAAGCCUGACGGAGCAAUACCGCGUGAGGGAAGAAUGCCUAUGGGUUGUAAACCGUCUUUUUUCAGGGAGGAAUAAAAUAGACGUGUACCUGAAGAAUAAGCAUCGGCUAACUCCGUG